This 321-nucleotide long non-coding RNA is filed under the name Cicer arietinum (chickpea). RNAcentral describes it as "long non-coding RNA (CARI_LNC001011)". Lineage: Eukaryota; Viridiplantae; Streptophyta; Magnoliopsida; Fabales; Fabaceae. The record is from RNAcentral.
CACCACCACCACUAGUACCAGUCUACUCACCACCACCGUCACCGGUCUACUCACCACCACCAUCACCAAUCUACUCACCACCACCAGUUUACUCACCACCUCCACUAGUCUACUCACCACCACCAGUCUACUCACCACCUCCCCCAAAAUACUCAUCACCUCCACCACCAGUUCACACCUACCCUCAUCCACACCCAGUUUACCAUUCUCCACCACCCCCUGCUCACAAGUAUCCUCACCCUCACCCUGUUUACCACUCUCCACCACCACCAGUUCACAAGUACCCUCAUCCUCACCCUAUUUACCACUCUCCACCACCAC